CUGGGGGUGUUUGUGGGGGUGGUGUGGGUGUUUGAAGUGAUGUGUGUGUGGGUGUGGGUGUAGUUUGGUUCUGAGUAUGGGGUAAGGUGGUGGUUGUGUGUGUGGGUGGGUGUGGGUGUGUUUUGGUUCUGAGUAUGGGGUAAGGUGGUGUGUGUCCGAAUAUAUCACUACGCCACACACACACAGACACACACCACAGCACGCACCUCACAUAUAUACAAGGCCACACAGUUAGUUCUACAGCCAGCACAGGCCAGCCAACAGCCAGCCAGUCAGCCAUAACCACAAUCUGGCCAAACAGACACAGAUGCUUAGAAACAGAGAAUCAAAGAAGGGGAAAAGAAUGAAAGGAAGAAUAAUUAUAAUGUUUGUAGAGUGGGAAUCAAGAAAAUGAAGUGAAAUAGGAAAGGAAGGAAGGAUUUGUAGAGUUUGUAUAGAUGAAGAAACCUACAACUGAAAGAAAGAUGAAUUUGUAUAGAUGAAGGAAGCUUAUUAUGAUGCUUGUAGAUAGAUAGAGACACAGAAGAACAGAAUGAAGUGAAAUAGAAAAGAAAGGAAGGAAGAAGGGUUUUGUAUAGAUGAAGAAACCUAUGACUGAAAGGAAGGAGAAUUUGUAUAGAUGAAGGAACCUUAUAUUAUGCUUGUUGAUAUAUAGAGACACACAGAAGAACAGAAUGAAGUGAAAUAGAAAAGAAAGGAAGGAAGAAGGGUUUUGUAUAGAUGAAGAAACCUAAGAAUGAAAGAGAAUUUGUAUAGAUGAAGGAACCUUAUAUUAUGCUUGUUGAUAUAUAGAGACACACAGAGAGAAAGAGAGAAUCAAGUGAAUUAGGAAAGAAUUGAAAGGUUGUUACAGGUGAAGGAACUGAAGAAUGAAUGAAAGAAGGAUUUUGAUAGAUGAAUGAACCUUAUUGUUAUGCUUAUAGAUAGACAGACAAACACAGAGGAAAAGAGAAUCAAGUGAAAUAGAAAAGGAAGGUGUUUGUAUAGAUGUAGAAACCUAAUCAUUGUAUUUAUAGAUAGAUAGAUAGAUAGA
This is a long non-coding RNA of Eriocheir sinensis (Chinese mitten crab), 1033 nucleotides long. RefSeq lists it as uncharacterized. The record is from RefSeq and is a predicted model, not a curated record. NCBI's taxonomy places the organism in Eukaryota, Metazoa, Arthropoda, Malacostraca, Decapoda, Varunidae. The transcript is spliced from 2 exons.